UCUGACACCGCUCUGGAGCUUUUACACAGACUCAUUUUCUGACCUUAAUCGUGAUGUUUUACCUGUUGAGGUGCCACCUGACUCAAUGGUAGAUGAAAUACUUCUUACCUUAGCUAUCCACUUAGCUCCAUCUAUAAUGUGCUUUGUGCUCUUCAGAUGAAACACCACAGAAGUGCAGGUGUUAUUGAAACGCACAGGUGAGCUCCACAAUCCAGUUCCCAAUGCAACCCCAAAAGAGCUGUACUGAUACAGCAGCAUGGGGCUGGAGUGAAAAGCAAAGGACAAGCAUAAUUUGAGUAUUGCCAUCGAAGACUCAGCAUCUUAAAACCAAAGCACAAAGGGUUCUGUCUAUCAUCAGGGAAAGAGCAAGCCUGAGAAGACAGAGGAUGCUCAAUUUGUCUGCCACGGUGAAUGAUCCCUGGCUGCUAUGCAAGGAAGUGCAAAGCAGCGAUGUGCAUGGCCUGUAAAAUUCCUUCCUUUAUUUAUUUAUUUUUGAAGGUGUGCAGCUUUUUAGGAGGGUGUUGGAGGACUUUACGGGAGAAAGGGAGAAAACCCCAUAGAACUGUUUGUACCAUCCCCAGGGAGUGGUUUUUGGAGCGAACAAACCUAAACACUAGGGUUAGUUUUUGUUUCAGAGGGAAGCAUCUGACCGAAUCCCAAGGACAGCUGGGACUGAACUAAUGUUUAUGCACUGCGGAUGCUCAAGGGAGAGGACCCAAAAGUGAAUGGGGAGCCGAGUUAUUCAGGAGGGUGGAGGCACCUUAAAGGGAAAGAGGGGAACUGGUUGCCAAGAAACUACCUUGGGAAAAAAGCAAACACAAACAACUCCAUGGAUAAAUGUAGGGUGGAGGCUGAAAGGAGGCUUCUGACUCGUGGCUAGCUUACUGUACACCCUAGGACUGGGAAGUUAACUGUUUUGUGGUUGAAUUCGGCCAAUUCAGGAUGAGGCUCACGCUGCAAGGUAGCUGGGGCUGGGGCACUGCUGACUCCUGAGCUUCCUUUCAGACCCAACCUCCUCUGUAGGAUGGUCCUAAUCGAUGUGGUGCCAUCCUUUCCUCAGCACAGGUCCCCAGGUCUGAGUAUUUCCCUUUACAGAAAUAAUAGUAAAUAUUAAAUAAUGGCACCGAU
Oxyura jamaicensis (ruddy duck) is the source of this 1128-nucleotide long non-coding RNA. RefSeq lists it as uncharacterized. NCBI's taxonomy places the organism in Eukaryota, Metazoa, Chordata, Aves, Anseriformes, Anatidae. The record is from RefSeq and is a predicted model, not a curated record. The transcript has 3 exons.